GUCGGAUUAGCUAGUUGGUAGGGUAACGGCCUACCAAGGCGACGAUCCGUAGCUGGUCUGAGAGGACGACCAGCCACACUGGGACUGAGACACGGCCCAGACUCCGGGAGGCAGCAGUGUAGGGAAUAUUGGACAAUGGGGGCAACCCUGAUCCAGCGACGCCGCGUGUGUGAAGAAGGCCUGCGGGUUGUAAAGCACUUUUAGUGGGGAUGAAAAGCUCAGGGCUAACACCUCUGAGUCUUGACCUAACCCACAGAAAAAGCACCGGCUAACUCUGUGCCAGCAGCCGCGGUAAUACAGAGGGUGCAAGCGUUAAUCGGAAUUACUGGUAAAGCGUACGUAGACGGUUGGAUAAGUCGGAUGUGAAAGCCCCGGGCUCAACCUGGGAAUUGCAUUCGAGACUGUGCAGCUAGGGUGCGGAAGAGGGAAGCGGAAUUUCCGGUGUAGCGGUGAAAUGCGUAGAUAUCGGAAGGAACACCAGUGGCGAAAGCGGCUUCCUGGUCCAGCACCGACGUUCACGUACGAAAGCAUGGGCUAGAGCA
Molecule: ribosomal RNA, 542 nt
Filed under: uncultured bacterium
Lineage: Bacteria
Description: bacterial SSU rRNA
Rfam family: Bacterial small subunit ribosomal RNA
Source: RNAcentral